CCUACUCGUCGCUCCUAGCGUCCAGCUUCCGCCUGCGCCUAGCCGUUCAGCUGUUCUCUCCUCUGCGGCACGACUGCCUGAUCCCCUGAGUUACUGCAUAAGCCGACCAGCCGACGCCUGCUACAUUCGUCUGCUGUUCGACCGAGGUCAUCUUACUGUGAUACCUGUGUAAAGGCCUAGUUCGUUGCAGAGCCAUGCUGGUAUCGGCGGCGUUGGCAUUGUGGCUGGCAGCAGUGCCACUGUUGGCGUAUCCCGCGUUCGGCAUCAAGCGCUACGGCCGCAACUCGGGCGUGUCGGC
Schistocerca nitens (vagrant locust) is the source of this 298-nucleotide long non-coding RNA. RefSeq lists it as uncharacterized. The transcript is spliced from 3 exons. The record is from RefSeq and is a predicted model, not a curated record. NCBI's taxonomy places the organism in Eukaryota, Metazoa, Arthropoda, Insecta, Orthoptera, Acrididae.